This 253-nucleotide ribosomal RNA is filed under the name Bacillus sp. R-30913. Its description in RNAcentral is "partial 16S ribosomal RNA". It matches the Rfam family "Bacterial small subunit ribosomal RNA", at positions 188 to 434 of the family's 1533-position model. Lineage: Bacteria; Bacillati; Bacillota; Bacilli; Caryophanales; Bacillaceae. The record is from RNAcentral.
CAUGGUUCAAUCAUAAAAGGUGGCUUUYAGCUACCACUURCAGAUGGACCCGCGGCGCAUUAGCUAGUUGGUGAGGUAACGGCUCACCAAGGCGACGAUGCGUAGCCGACCUGAGAGGGUGAUCGGCCACACUGGGACUGAGACACGGCCCAGACUCCUACGGGAGGCAGCAGUAGGGAAUCUUCCGCAAUGGACGAAAGUCUGACGGAGCAACGCCGCGUGAGUGAUGAAGGUUUUCGGAUCGUAAAACUCU